This is a long non-coding RNA of Mesoplodon densirostris (Blainville's beaked whale), 828 nucleotides long. RefSeq lists it as uncharacterized. The transcript has 4 exons. NCBI's taxonomy places the organism in Eukaryota, Metazoa, Chordata, Mammalia, Artiodactyla, Ziphiidae. The record is from RefSeq and is a predicted model, not a curated record.
GGAAGCGAGAGGGCAAAGGCGGGGAGGAGUUCGUCAAAAUGAUUUAAAUUGCUGUGUUUGGACAGUGGCGUGCUGGUUUUUUCUUUGUUUUUCAUUGUCGCCAACAACAGGCGUUUCUUGAGACCUCACAAGCGCCCACUAUGGCAGGAGCGGAAGCAGUUUGGAACCUGUGUCUCUUUUGAUUCAGGAAUUUAAGAUCCAAAACAGUCGGCUUUUAAAAAGGGGGAAAAGAGUGGAGGUGGGAUAGGAGCAUCGAAAGAAACCAGUAGAGAAGAGUGUGGCCCAGAUGCAGCAGAUAGACUCCUACAAUCACCUCUAACUCCCAUGCCCGCCAUCCAAAGCUUGGGAUAAAGAGCCAUUGGAUCUGAAGGGGGCAAAUGGAUGUACGAGAGACAUGUCGACAACAACCUGUGGGUACUAACGAUGGGGGUCCAGAUAAGACAGUGAAGCCCUGAUGUACAAAUUACUUAAGGAGCAGAUGAGGAGAAUGGGUCCUCUGAUUAGAAUUUAAAUUAUUGGUCUUCCCUGGUGGCACAGUGGUUAAGAAUCCACCUGCCAAUGCAGGGGACACAGGUUCGAGCCCUGGUGCGGGAAGUUCCCACAAGCCACAGAGCAGCUAAGCCCAUGCACCACAACUACUGAGCCUGCACUCUAGAGCCCGCGAACCACAACUACUGAGCCCGUGUGCCACAACUACUGAAGUCCACGCACCUAGAGCCCGUGCGCUGCAACAAGAGAAGCCACCUCAAUGAGAAGCCUGCGCACCACAAUGAAGCGUAGCCCCUGCUCACAACUAGAGAAAGCCCGCGCGCAGCAAUGAAGACCCAA